UAUAACGGUUAACUUAGAGCC
This is a non-coding RNA of Caenorhabditis elegans, 21 nucleotides long. Lineage: Eukaryota; Metazoa; Nematoda; Chromadorea; Rhabditida; Rhabditidae. The record is from Ensembl.